Unclassified non-coding RNA from Mesocricetus auratus (golden hamster), 337 nucleotides. Its record names the gene 7SK. It matches the Rfam family "7SK RNA". From Rfam's summary of the family: 7SK was discovered as an abundant small nuclear RNA in the mid-70s but a possible function has only recently been suggested. Two independent studies have found that 7SK RNA binds the CDK9/cyclin T complex (known as elongation factor P-TEFb). P-TEFb activates transcription by phosphorylating the C-terminal domain of RNA polymerase II. The record is from Ensembl. Lineage: Eukaryota; Metazoa; Chordata; Mammalia; Rodentia; Cricetidae.
GGAUGUGAGGGCGAUCUGGCUACGACAUCUGUCACCCAUUGAUUGCCAGGGCUGAUUCAGCCAAUCUGACGAGCUAGGUGAGUGUCCUCUUCCACCCUCACCACUCCAAGUGCGCCCCUCCUGAAGCUGUGUACUCGGUUGAAGGGCAUGACCCUCCCUGAAUAGAGGAGGUCUGGUCUCAGUCAAGGGUAUGCCAGUAGCUGCACUCCCCUGCUAGAACACCCAGACAAGCUCUCAAGAUCAGUCCCUGACUAGUAAGAGAGGUCUUCUUUGAUGAAAGUGGGAAAAGCUGUUUAAUUCUUUCUAUUUGAUUUUUUGUGUCUAUGUGUCUAUGAUA